This 529-nucleotide ribosomal RNA is filed under the name uncultured bacterium. RNAcentral's name for it is "partial 16S ribosomal RNA". It matches the Rfam family "Bacterial small subunit ribosomal RNA", at positions 355 to 900 of the family's 1533-position model. The record is from RNAcentral.
UGGGGAAUAUUGCACAAUGGGCGAAAGCCUGAUGCAGCAACGCCGCGUGAGUGAUGAAGGUCUUCGGAUUGUAAAGCUCUGUCUUUUGGGACGAUAAUGACGGUACCAAAGGAGGAAGCCACGGCUAACUACGUGCCAGCAGCCGCGGUAAUACGUAGGUGGCGAGCGUUGUCCGGAUUUACUGGGCGUAAAGGGUGCGUAGGCGGAUGUUUAAGUGAGAUGUGAAAUACCCGGGCUUAACUUGGGUGCUGCAUUUCAAACUGGAUAUCUAGAGUGCAGGAGAGGAGAAUGGAAUUCCUAGUGUAGCGGUGAAAUGCGUAGAGAUUAGGAAGAACACCAGUGGCGAAGGCGAUUCUCUGGACUGUAACUGACGCUGAGGCACGAAAGCGCGGGUAGCAAACAGGAUUAGAUACCCUGGUAGUCCACGCCGUAAACGAUGAGUACUAGGUGUAGGAGGUAUCGACCCCUUCUGUGCCGCAGUAAACACAUUAAGUACUCCGCCUGGGAAGUACGAUCGCAAGAUUAAAAC